This 447-nucleotide ribosomal RNA is filed under the name Triticum aestivum (bread wheat). RNAcentral describes it as "partial small subunit ribosomal RNA". Lineage: Eukaryota; Viridiplantae; Streptophyta; Magnoliopsida; Poales; Poaceae. The record is from RNAcentral.
AUGGCGGCCACCUCCAUCGUCGUCUUCGCCGCCAGACCGUCGCCGGCUCUAGGGCUGCCUCGGCUGAGACUUGCCAGGGCCGAGGGGCUGAGGUGCAGGGUCAGCAAGAAGGCGUCUUCGGCUCUGGCUCCGAUGGUGGCCAAGGGCGCGCCGCUGCUCUCCAAGGCGAGCGGCAUGGCGUCAGCAGCCCCGAUGCUGGCCUCGGCUCUGGCGCUGGUAGACGAGGGGAUGUCGGGCGAGCGCGCCGGGCAGAGCAACGACCUGCUGGGGUGGGCCCUGCUGCUUGUCUUGGGCCUCGUCUUGUGCUUCUACGCCGUCUACUCCACCACCUUCGACGACGACGACGACCGGUCAGGUGGCGGCGGCAUCAUGCUCUGCAGCCUCGACACCACCACCAUCUUCUUCUUCUGCCUGCCUGCCUGCAUCUAUCAAGCAUGGAUGAACUGA